Molecule: ribosomal RNA, 496 nt
Filed under: uncultured bacterium
Lineage: Bacteria
Description: partial 16S ribosomal RNA
Rfam family: Bacterial small subunit ribosomal RNA
Source: RNAcentral
AUGAACGCUGGCGGCGUGCCUAAUCCCUGCCAGUCGAGCGAACAGACGAAGAGCUUGCUCCUCUGACGUUAGCGGCGGACGGGUGAGUAACACGUGGAUAACCUACCUAUAAGACUGGGAUAACUUCGGGAAACCGGAGCUAAUACCGGAUAAUAUAUUGAACCGCAUGGUUCAAUAGUGAAAGACGGUUUUGCUGUCACUUAUAGAUGGAUCCGCGCCGCAUUAGCUAGUUGGUAAGGUAACGGCUUACCAAGGCAACGAUGCGUAGCCGACCUGAGAGGGUGAUCGGCCACACUGGAACUGAGACACGGUCCAGACUCCUACGGGAGGCAGCAGUAGGGAAUCUUCCGCAAUGGGCGAAAGCCUGACGGAGCAACGCCGCGUGAGUGAUGAAGGUCUUCGGAUCGUAAAACUCUGUUAUUAGGGAAGAACAAAUGUGUAAGUAACUAUGCACGUCUUGACGGUACCUAAUCAGAAAGCCACGGCUAACUACGUG